AGAGUGAACGCUGGCGGCAGGCCUAACACAUGCAAGUCGAGCGGCAGCGCGGGGCAACCCUGGCGGCGAGCGGCGGACGGGUGAGGAAUACAUCGGAAUCUACCUUGUUGUGGGGGAUAACGUAGGGAAACUUACGCUAAUACCGCAUACGACCUGAGGGUGAAAGCGGGGGACCGCAAGGCCUCGCGCGACAAGAUGAGCCGAUGUCCGAUUAGCUAGUUGGUGGGUAAUGGCCUACCAAGCCUUUGACGGGUAGCUGGUCUGAGAGGACGACCAGCCAGAAGGGGACUGAGACACGGCCCCUACUCCUACGGAGGCAGCAGCGAGGAAUCUGGGCAAUGGGCGAAAGCCUGACCCAGCGACGCCGCGUGAGGGAUGAAGGCCUUCGGGUCGUAAACCUCUUUAUGGAGAAGAAGUUCUGACGUAUCCCAUGAAUAAGCCAACGGCUAACUACGUGCCAGCAGCCGC
This 468-nucleotide ribosomal RNA is filed under the name uncultured soil bacterium. RNAcentral's name for it is "bacterial SSU rRNA". It matches the Rfam family "Bacterial small subunit ribosomal RNA", at positions 26 to 518 of the family's 1533-position model. The record is from RNAcentral.